GGGGAAUUUUGGACAAUGGGCGCAAGCCUGAUCCAGCAAUGCCGCGUGCAGGACGAAGGCCUUCGGGUUGUAAACUGCUUUUGUACAGAACGAAAAAGCCUCUUCUAAUACAGGGGGUGCAUGACGGUACUGUAAGAAUAAGCACCGGCUAACUACGUGCCAGCAGCCGCGGUAAUACGUAGGGUGCAAGCGUUAAUCGGAAUUACUGGGCGUAAAGCGUGCGCAGGCGGUUUUGUAAGGCAGAGGUGAAAUCCCCGGGCUCAACCUGGGAACUGCCUUUGUGACUGCAAGGCUGGAGUGCGGCAGAGGGGGAUGGAAUUCCGCGUGUAGCAGUGAAAUGCGUAGAUAUGCGGAGGAACACCGAUGGCGAAGGCAAUCCCCUGGGCCUGCACUGACGCUCAUGCACGAAAGCGUGGGGAGCAGAC
Molecule: ribosomal RNA, 425 nt
Filed under: uncultured bacterium
Lineage: Bacteria
Description: bacterial SSU rRNA
Rfam family: Bacterial small subunit ribosomal RNA
Source: RNAcentral